GCUGGCGUAGCUCAAUUAGUAGAGCAUCUCAUUUGUAAUGAGGCGGUUGGGGGUUCGAGUCCCUUCGCCAGCUCCA
RNAcentral lists this transfer RNA (76 nucleotides) under Candidatus Eiseniibacteriota bacterium. RNAcentral describes it as "Candidatus Eisenbacteria bacterium tRNA-Thr". It matches the Rfam family "tRNA". From Rfam's summary of the family: Transfer RNA (tRNA) molecules are approximately 80 nucleotides in length. Their secondary structure includes four short double-helical elements and three loops (D, anti-codon, and T loops). The record is from RNAcentral. Lineage: Bacteria; Candidatus Eiseniibacteriota.